This 497-nucleotide ribosomal RNA is filed under the name uncultured bacterium. RNAcentral describes it as "SSU rRNA". It matches the Rfam family "Bacterial small subunit ribosomal RNA", at positions 26 to 523 of the family's 1533-position model. The record is from RNAcentral.
AGGACGAACGCUGGCGGCGUGCUUAACACAUGCAAGUCGAGCGGAAAGGCCCUUCGGGUACUCGAGCGGCGAACGGGUGAGUAACACGUGAGUAAUCUGCCCCUAGCUCUGGGAUAGCUCCGGGAAACCGGGAUUAAUACUGGAUACGACCACCUUAGACAUCUUUUGUGGUGGAAAGAAUUUCGGCUAGGGAUGAGCUCGCGGCCUAUCAGCUUGUUGGUGGGGUAACGGCCUACCAAGGCGACGACGGGUAGCCGGCCUGAGAGGGCGACCGGCCACACUGGGACUGAGACACGGCCCAGACUCCUACGGGAGGCAGCAGUCGAGAAUUUUUCUCAAUGGGGGAAACCCUGAAGGAGCGACGCCGCGUGGAGGAUGAAGGUCUUCGGGUUGUAAACUCCUGUCAUUUGGGAACAAUGCGCAAAUAUUAACUGUAUUUGCGUUGAUAGUACCAGAAGAGGAAGGGACGGCUAACUCUGCGCCAGCAGCCGCGGUAA